UACGUAGGGUGCAAGCGUUAAUCGGAAUUACUGGGCGUAAAGCGUGCGCAGGCGGUGAUGUAAGACAGAUGUGAAAUCCCCGGGCUCAACCUGGGAACUGCAUUUGUGACUGCAUCGCUGGAGUGCGGCAGAGGGGGAUGGAAUUCCGCGUGUAGCAGUGAAAUGCGUAGAGAUCCGGAGGAACACCGACGGCGAAGGCAGCGCCCUGGACGAGACCUGACGCUCAGGCACGAAAGCUGGGGGAGCAAACAGG
Molecule: ribosomal RNA, 253 nt
Filed under: uncultured bacterium
Lineage: Bacteria
Description: partial 16S ribosomal RNA
Rfam family: Bacterial small subunit ribosomal RNA
Source: RNAcentral